UCGAGCUCGGUGGUCGGCGGUAUCUGGUGUCGCCGCGAGGCGAGGGCCAAUGGGUCCGGAACCUGCGGGUGGCGGGCGAGGGCCAGCUUCGGAUCGGGCGGAAGGCGGAGGCCUUUCGCGCCCGUGAGCUGGACGAUCGCGAGAAGGCCCCGGUGCUACGGGCCUACCUCGAGCGGUGGAAGAUCGAGGUGGGCAUCUUCUUCGAGGGUGUCGGUCCGAAGUCCACCGACGAGCAGCUGAGCGCGAUCUCGGCCCGCCAUCCGGUGUUCGAGGUCCUUCCCGCCGGCGCUGCUUGAGCGCUCAGCGUCUGGGCCUUCCAGCGCCGCCGCUGGAGGCCCACGAGCACCGGCACCAGCCCCUGGCCAGAAGCCAUGCACCAACCGCCGUCGGUUGACCCGGCCAGAGGUCUAUGGGUGCCCAGGCAGAAUGUGGGUGUGAUCGAUCCAGGAGUCCUCGUCACCGUGGCGUCGAUCACGGCCGGCUUCGGCAUCACGGUUCUGUUCUUCCGCAUUGACCGAGAACUCAGGAUGAACGAGAGGGGUGAGCGCAUCUGGCUCCCGUGGGCCGACUGGCUGUUGCUCGCAGCCACUUUCGCUUCGCUCCUGCUCGUGCUGCUGCCGGUCAUUCUGUUUCCGGAAUCGGAGGGCCUUGGGUCACGCCUCCCCGCCGCCGGAUGUGCCGCAGCCACGGUCGGACUUGCGGGAUACCUGGUCGGCAUCCUUGCGCACUACCGCCUGCUCUUCGGCUCAGCACGGUCCGGGCCUCGCGACAACCCCGAGCCAAGCGAGCGGAUCGUCGUGCUGGCCACCGGGAUCGCGGCCAUUGGAGUCUUCGUGGCUUCCCUCCUCUCAACCGCGUGAACGAACGAGAUCAUCGCCGGCGGUGUAAAGGUAGUGCCGGUCGAGAUGCAGGUCCGUGAGGCGAUGACAUGGGAAUCCGAAUCGCACGAUGCAGCUUCGUGGCAUUCGUGAUGACCCUUGCCGUCGCGUGCAACCAGGACACCGAGGCGACGUCAACCCCGACAUCUGCCACUCCUUCACCGGCGACACUGUCCACUCCUCCACCGACCCGCCCCAGCGUGACGUGUGCGACGCCCGGAGUCACCGCGCCGGCGGGAUGCUGGCAGGAGAUCUUGCCGCUGGGCAGCGGGGGCUUUCCGGCCACGCCUGGAUCCGCCGACACCCCCACAUGGGAACCCG
This 1199-nucleotide unclassified non-coding RNA is filed under the name uncultured fungus. RNAcentral's name for it is "sequence contains 18S rRNA gene, ITS1, 5.8S rRNA gene, ITS2, 28S rRNA gene". The record is from RNAcentral. Lineage: Eukaryota; Fungi.